UUAGGCAUCUCCUUUAGAGCUUCUGUAAUUUCUUCCAAUGUUACCUCUUGAAUUAGCAUUUUUUGUUGUGAUAAAGUUAGACAUUGUCCUUCCUUCAUAACAGCAGUAUUGAUACAAGGUCGUUCAUCAACACAUUCUCCCAUCAAUGAUUUGAACACCUUAAUAAAUUCUUGUUCCACAGCUGAUGGAUUUGUUAGUUUUAUACCUG
Molecule: long non-coding RNA, 208 nt
Filed under: Nicotiana benthamiana
Lineage: Eukaryota; Viridiplantae; Streptophyta; Magnoliopsida; Solanales; Solanaceae
Description: long non-coding RNA (NBEN_LNC027592)
Source: RNAcentral